AAAAUCCGUUGGUUUCGCGGGACCGUGAGGG
RNAcentral lists this transfer RNA (31 nucleotides) under Leptochilus cantoniensis. RNAcentral's name for it is "partial tRNA-Leu". Lineage: Eukaryota; Viridiplantae; Streptophyta; Polypodiopsida; Polypodiales; Polypodiaceae. The record is from RNAcentral.